This 263-nucleotide ribosomal RNA is filed under the name uncultured bacterium. RNAcentral describes it as "partial 16S ribosomal RNA". It matches the Rfam family "Bacterial small subunit ribosomal RNA", at positions 28 to 294 of the family's 1533-position model. The record is from RNAcentral.
GAUGAACGCUGGCGGCAUGCUUUACACAUGCAAGUCGAACGGCAGCAUGGGGGCAACCCUGAUGGCGAGUGGCGAACGGGUGAGUAAUAUAUCGGAACGUGCCCAGGAGUGGGGGACAACCAGUCGAAAGAUUGGCUAAUACCGCAUACGAUCUACGGAUGAAAGUGGGGGACCUUCGGGCCUCGACGCUCCGUGGAGCGGCCGAUAGCUGAUUAGCUAGUGGUGGGGUAAGCCUACCAAGGCGAUGAUCAGUAGCUGGUCUG